Triticum aestivum (bread wheat) is the source of this 224-nucleotide non-coding RNA. The record is from Rfam. Lineage: Eukaryota; Viridiplantae; Streptophyta; Magnoliopsida; Poales; Poaceae.
ACAACCUUACUUGAACAGGAUCUGUUCUAUAGGCUCGUACCGCUGCAUCCUUUACCAAUAAGGAGGCAAGCACUUCAGUCUGGUUGAUGCAUUCUUAACCACUGGGCCAGAGCGUGAUUAACGGCUUGGAUGAAUCUUGAUGGGUGUUAUCCGAUGGCUGUAGAGGAUCGUUCCUGGAUUGGCUUCUGUCUCUACAGGGUGGCCUAGAGGUUGUCUGACGGACA